Molecule: ribosomal RNA, 1215 nt
Filed under: metagenome
Description: bacterial SSU rRNA
Rfam family: Bacterial small subunit ribosomal RNA
Source: RNAcentral
GAGAGGAUGAUCAGCAACACUGGGACUGAGACACUGCCCAGACUCCUACGGGAGGCUGCAGUCGAGAAUCAUUGUCAAUGCACGAAAGUGUGAACAUGCGACGCCGCGUGGAGGAAGACGGCCUUUGGGUUGUAAACUCCUGUCAGCAGGGAGUAAGGAUGGUUUAUCUAAUACAUAAGCCAUUUGAUAGUACCUGCAGAGGAAGUCACGGCUAACUCUGUGCCAGCAGCCGCGGUAAUACAGAGGUGGCGAACGUUGUUCGGAUUUACUGGGCGUAAAGGGUCCGCAGGCGGCUUGGUGUGUCAGAUGUGAAAGCCCACGGCUUAACCGUGGAAUUGCAUUUGAAACUGCCAAGCUAGAGUACUGGAGGGGAGAAGGGAACACUUGGUGUAGCGGUGAAAUGCGUAGAUAUCAAGUGGAACACCGGUGGCGAAGGCGCUUCUCUGGACAGAUACUGACGCUCAUGGACGAAAGUUAGGGUAGCGAAAGGGAUUAGAUACCCCUGUAGUCCUAACCGUAAACGGUGUGCGCUAGGCGUGGGUGGCUUUACCCCCAUCCGUGCCUGAGCUAACGCAUUAAGCGCACCGCCUGGGGAGUACGGUCGCAAGAUUAAAACUCAAAGGAAUUGACGGGGACCCGCACAAGCGGUGGAGCAUGUGGCUUAAUUCGAUGCAACGCGAAGAACCUUACCUGGGCUUGACAUAUAGCUGCAUACGACCCGAAAGGGACGUAGCCUUCGAGGGUGCUAUACAGGUGCUGCAUGGCUGUCGUCAGCUCGUGCCGUGAGGUGUUGGGUUAAGUCCCGCAACGAGCGCAACCCCUGUAUUUAGUUGCCAGCACGUAAUGGUGGGAACUCUAAACAGACUGCCUGUGAAAGCAGGAGGAAGGUGGGGAUGACGUCAAGUCAGUAUGGUCCUUAUGCCCAGGGCUGCACGUGCUACAAUGGGAUGUACAGUGGGAAGCUAAGCCGCGAGGUGGAGCAAAUCCUCAAAACAUCCCCCAGUUCGGAUUGUAGUCUGAAACUCGACUACAUGAAGUUGGAAUCGCUAGUAAAGGCGUAUCAGCUACGACGCCUUGAAUACGUUCCCGGGUCUUGUACACACCGCCCGUCACAUCAUGGAAGUUAGUUGCACCCGAAGUCGUUGAUCCAACCUUUUAUUAGGAGGAAGGCGCCUAAGGUGUGAUUGGUAACUGGGAUGAAGUCGUAACAAGGUA